AACGAACGCUGGCGGCGUGCUUAACACAUGCAAGUCGAACGCGAAAGGGACUUCGGUCCUGAGUAAAGUGGCGCACGGGUGAGUAACGCGUAGAUAACCUGUCUUCAUGUCUGGAAUAAUACACCGAAAGGGGUACUAAUACCGGAUAUUCUUGCUUUAUAUAAGUUUUGUCAAGCAAAGGUAGGCCUCUGAUUCAAGCUACUGCAUGUAGAGGGGUCUGCGUACCAUUAGCUAGUAGGUAGGGUAAUGGCCUACCUAGGCAACGAAUGGUUAGCGGUCUGAGAGGAUGAUCCGCCACACUGGCACUGGAACACGGGCCAGACUCCUAC
This 329-nucleotide ribosomal RNA is filed under the name uncultured bacterium. RNAcentral describes it as "bacterial SSU rRNA". It matches the Rfam family "Bacterial small subunit ribosomal RNA", at positions 29 to 342 of the family's 1533-position model. The record is from RNAcentral.